GGGCCCGCACAAGCGGUGGAGCAUGUGGUUUAAUUCGAUGAUACGCGAGGAACCUUACCAGGGCUUAAAUGUAGUUUGACCGGUCUGGAAACAGACUUUCUCUUCGGAGCAGAUUACAAGGUGCUGCAUGGUUGUCGUCAGCUCGUGCCGUGAGGUGUUAGGUUAAGUCCUGCAACGAGCGCAACCCCUAUUCUUAGUUGCCAUCACGUUUGGGUGGGCACUCUAGGGAAACUGCCGGUGCUAAGCCGGAGGAAGGCGGGGAUGACGUCAAGUCCUCAUGGCCCUUACGGGUAGGGCUACACACGUGCUACAAUGGCAGUGACAGAGGGACGCUACCAGGUGACUGGAUGCAAAUCUCAAAAAGCUGUCUCAGUUCGGAUUGUUGUCUGCAACUCGACAACAUG
Molecule: ribosomal RNA, 404 nt
Filed under: uncultured bacterium
Lineage: Bacteria
Description: bacterial SSU rRNA
Rfam family: Bacterial small subunit ribosomal RNA
Source: RNAcentral